RNAcentral lists this ribosomal RNA (117 nucleotides) under candidate division BRC1 bacterium HGW-BRC1-1. The record is from RNAcentral. Lineage: Bacteria; Candidatus Sumerlaeota.
CCCGGCGAUUAUGGCGAGGAGGCCACACCCGUUCCCAUUCCGAACACGGCAGUUAAGCUCCUCAGCGUCGAUGGUACUAUGUGGGCAACUGCAUGGGAGAGUAGAUCGUCGCCGGGU